UACGUAGGGUGCGAGCGUUUGUCCGGAAUUAUUGGGCGUAAAGAGCUCGUAGGCGGUCUGUCGCGUCGAAUGUGAAAACCCGGGGCUCAACUCCGGGCUUGCAUUCGAUACGGGCAGGCUAGAGUUCGGUAGGGGAGUCUGGAAUUCCUGGUGUAGCGGUGAAAUGCGCAGAUAUCAGGAGGAACACCGGUGGCGAAAGGCGGGUCUCUGGGCCGAUAUUGACGCUGGAGGAGCGAAAGCGUGGGGAGCGAACAGG
Molecule: ribosomal RNA, 256 nt
Filed under: uncultured bacterium
Lineage: Bacteria
Description: partial 16S ribosomal RNA
Rfam family: Bacterial small subunit ribosomal RNA
Source: RNAcentral